Molecule: ribosomal RNA, 464 nt
Filed under: uncultured bacterium
Lineage: Bacteria
Description: bacterial SSU rRNA
Rfam family: Bacterial small subunit ribosomal RNA
Source: RNAcentral
UCCAGACUCCUACGGGAGGCAGCAGUGAGGAAUAUUGGUCAAUGGACGGAAGUCUGAACCAGCCAUGCCGCGUGCAGGAAGACGGCUCUAUGAGUUGUAAACUGCUUUUGUACAAGGGUAAACCUGAAUACGUGUAUUCAGCUGAAAGUACUGUACGAAUAAGGAUCGGCUAACUCCGUGCCAGCAGCCGCGGUAAUACGGAGGAUCCAAGCGUUAUCCGGAUUUAUUGGGUUUAAAGGGUGCGUAGGCGGGCUUUUAAGUCAGCGGUAAAAAUUCGGGGCUCAACCCCGUCCGGCCGUUGAAACUGGGGGCCUUGAGUGGGCGAGAAGAAGGCGGAAUGCGUGGUGUAGCGGUGAAAUGCAUAGAUAUCACGCAGAACCCCGAUUGCGAAGGCAGCCUUCCGGCGCCCUACUGACGCUGAGGCACGAAAGUGCGGGGAUCGAACAGGAUUAGAUACCCGAGUC